Molecule: ribosomal RNA, 463 nt
Filed under: uncultured bacterium
Lineage: Bacteria
Description: partial 16S ribosomal RNA
Rfam family: Bacterial small subunit ribosomal RNA
Source: RNAcentral
GACGAACGCUGGCGGCGUGCUUAACACACGCAAGUCGAACGGAAAGGCCUUUUCGGAGGUACUCGAGUGGCGAACGGGUGAGUAACACGUGGGUGAUCUGCCCUGCACUCUGGGAUAAGCCUGGGAAACUGGGUCUAAUACCGGAUAGGACCGCACUUUAGUGUGUGUGGUGGAAAGUUUUUUCGGUGUAGGAUGAGCCCGCGGCCUAUCAGCUUGUUGGUGGGGUAAUGGCCUACCAAGGCGGCGACGGGUAGCCGGACUGAGAGGUUGGUCGGCCACAUUGGGACUGAGAUACGGCCCAGACUCCUACGGGAGGCAGCAGUGGGGAAUAUUGCACAAUGGGCGCAAGCCUGAUGCAGCGACGCCGCGUGGGGGAUGACGGCCUUCGGGUUGUAAACUCCUUUCGCCAGGGACGAAGCGUUUUGUGACGGUACCUGGAGAAGAAGCACCGGCUAACUACGUG